GGAGGUUGUGGGUCCGGUGUGAGAUGUCAUCCCUGGGCACCACAAUGGAAGGAGAAAGAGACCCAGUGACAGGACUCAAAGGUCUUCCUUCAAUUCUGGGCAGGAAUCGAGAAUAAUCAGUGGGACAGACUCUUUGAUUUGUUAUACAGACAUCAACAAACUCUGUUUCCUCCCCAACCUCCUGAGCUCAAUAACUUUUAAUCAUUUUACAAAAUGAAUAAUAAAAAUAGAAAAAAGUCAAUGUGAAAAGAAUCU
This 255-nucleotide long non-coding RNA is filed under the name Vombatus ursinus (common wombat). RNAcentral describes it as "lncRNA (ENSVURG00010000598.1)". The record is from RNAcentral. Lineage: Eukaryota; Metazoa; Chordata; Mammalia; Diprotodontia; Vombatidae.